CAGUCGCCGCGGUAAUACAGAGGGUGCAAGCGUUAAUCGGAAUUACUGGGCGUAAAGCGCGCGUAGGUGGUUUGUUAAGUUGGAUGUGAAAGCCCCGGGCUCAACCUGGGAACUGCAUCCAAAACUGGCAAGAUAGAGUACGGUAGAGGGUGGUGGAAUUUCCUGUGUAGCGGUGAAAUGCGUAGAUAUAGGAAGGAACACCAGUGGCGAAGGCGACCACCUGGACUGAUACUGACACUGAGGUGCGAAAGCGUGGGGAGCAAACAGGAUUAGAUACCCCGGUAGUCCCUGUCUCUUAUAC
RNAcentral lists this ribosomal RNA (301 nucleotides) under uncultured bacterium. RNAcentral describes it as "partial 16S ribosomal RNA". It matches the Rfam family "Bacterial small subunit ribosomal RNA", at positions 509 to 807 of the family's 1533-position model. The record is from RNAcentral.